This 185-nucleotide microRNA precursor is filed under the name Oryza punctata. RNAcentral describes it as "MIR812 microRNA precursor family". It matches the Rfam family "MIR812 microRNA precursor family". Lineage: Eukaryota; Viridiplantae; Streptophyta; Magnoliopsida; Poales; Poaceae. The record is from Rfam by way of RNAcentral.
AAUAAGUGCAAUUUUGAACUGACAUUAACCGUCCGUUUUAUUUGAAAAAAAUUAUGAUUAGUAUUUUUAUCGCUAUUAGAUGAUAAAACAUAAACAGUUUUUCAUAUGUGACUAUUUUUUUAAUUUUUUUACAAAUUUUUCAAAUAAGAUAGACGAUCAAACGGAUAUCAACGGUUAAUCUUAUU